UUCUGCAGGCCUGUGGGGAGUGAGGAAGCCGAUGGGCGGUCUCUGUCAGAUGCCAGGCAGUGCACAAGCCAUGCAGCCCCAGGCGCCUUUCUUACCAGGUCGCUCACCCUGCACAGGGCCGUUGAGAAAUCCUAGGCAAUGCAUCUGUUCUCUGUCUGGAGUCACUUCAGUGGUUUGCCCCUAGCUUCUUGGAUGUCUUUCUUAAACUGGGGGCAGAUUGAGGGGGAGUUUGUGUCACAGUAGAACCCGUUAUUCUCAACUCCAGACCAACACGGGAAAUCUCCCAUGACUUUUCCCAUAGUUCCUUCCAUUCUGUCAACAGCAGUGUUUAUUCAAACACUGUAAACCUCCUUUAUCAGGAUGGUUUUGGGGAAUAGGACUGAUAACCCUCGGAGGCUAAGCUAAUUAUAGAACGUGUUUCAAAGCUUAUCUUUUUUCCUUAUUAUAAAGUAAUCCAUUUUUUUUUUUUUGACAGGCAGAGUGGACAGUGAGAGAGAGAGACAGAGAGAAAGGUCUUCCUUUGCCGUUGGUUCACCCUCCAAUGGCCGCCGCGGCCGGCGCGCUGCGGCCGGCGCACCGCGCUGAUCCGAUGGCAGGAGCCAGGAGCCAGGUGCUUUUCCUGGUCUCCCAUGGGGUGCAGGGCCCAAGCACCUGGGCCAUCCUCCACUGCACUCCCUGGCCGCAGCAGAGGGCUGGCCUGGAAGAGGGGCACCCGGGACAGAAUCCGGCGCCCCGACCGGGACUAGAACCCGGUGUGCCGGCGCCGCUAGGCGGAGGAUUAGCCUAGUGAGCCGCGGCGCCGGCCGAAAGUAAUCCAUUUUUUAAGUGCCCAAAUGAUGCAAAAAUGAAUGCCGUAGAAGGCGGAUCUCCCUCUACCUCUGCCUCUCUCUUUUUCCAUCAAAUGCAACAACUAAGUAAAAACGUAGAAAACAGGUGCAUGGGAAACAGUGAGCACAUCUCCUAGCACCUCUGCAGCCCCCGCAGGCCUGGGUUUGCCAUCCCUGCUCCCAGCCAGGAUCUGUGACUUUGUGACUUGCAGAGUCAGGAUCCAAACCCACUCUUUAAGCCUGGCAUUAUCUGCUGGCACAAGGCCAACUUCUUAUUUUGCUGUUUUUCUCUGUCCAUGGAUGCCACCUUUUCAGCCAACCACUGAGGCUCAGAACGGGCCACUGCCCCAGCCAGCCACUCCGACCUCUCGCUGCACAGACAGCCCUGGGCGUGAGCACCUUUGUGUGACUAGCAGGGGAGGCUUUGGUGAGUUCCAGUGGUUGGAAUUGACCUGCUUGUUCCACAUGUUUUCCGUGUCAGGGUGUCCGGUGCUUUGGGUUGGUUUUAAUAGCUGACCACAUCCCAUUCCCUAGCCCCUGCUGAGAAGAUGAUGUCCAGACACAGUAGCUUUUCCAGAAAAUGAUGCACCCCCAGGGCACAGUGAACCUCUCAGGUUAACCCAGAAGGCUGCUGGCUGGGAUCUCGCUGGGCCAAGCACAGGUUACCAGGCUCCAGAAGGUCGCAACCCAGCCCCUCCCAGCAGCCUCACGUUACUGGAGAGAGAAAUGAUGAGGUGGAGUGAUGACACGUGGGGUGCAGGGAGUUCUUAGAGCCCGGGCCCGUCUUCCCCAGGCAGGAAAGCACCGACGACAGAGAGGGCGGGGAGCGGGGCUUUCCCUCCUGAGCUGGACGUUCCGCAACCGCAGCGGCGCCUUUCUCAACAGGGGCGGAGCUGGCCCGGGCUUUCUGGAAGGUGGCGAUUUCGAACCACCGAGGCCCUUGUGAGUCAGCGGAGGGUCACAGUGAGUGCUGCAGUGAUUCUUUGAAGACAAAAUGUGAAAAACAAGGGGCUGAGCUGGGGCUGGGGCGUCGUGGGUUAAGCCGCUGUCUGCAGUGCCAGAAUCCCAUAUGGACCCCUGUUCAAGACCCGAGGCUCCAUUUCUGAUCCAUCACCCUGCUAAUGCACCUGGGACAGCAGUGGAAGAUGGCCCAGGGGCUUGGGCCCCUGCACGCAUGUGGGAGACCCAGAAGAGGCUCCUGGCUUCAGUCUGGCUCAGUUCCGGCUGUUGUGGCCAUUUGGGGAGUCUGAUGGAAGAGCGCUCUCUCUCUCUCUCUCUAACUCUGGUAAAUAAAUAAAUUUUAAAAAAAGAAAUGUGAAAAUAAGAUUAGAACCUUUGUGAUUUUUUUAAAAAAUAUUUUAAAUUUAUAUGAAAGCAGAAAGAAAGGUGGGGAGUUGGGCGGGUAGGAUCCUCCAUCCAUUGGUUCACUCCCCCCAAAUGGCCAUAACAGUUAAGGCUACCUCCCAGACAUUCCAGUAUAGGGUUUGGAUACACCAAGUGGCAUCUUAAGCACUGUGCAAAAUGCCAGUGUCUCUUUCGAUGUAUCUCAAGUGUGGUAUCUAGGUGAGAGUGUACGUGUCAGAUUCUGAAUUUCACCCUGGGGUGUGGUUGAAGCAGCAGCCCGUGUGUGUGGACCGUCUGGAGGUGCCUGGCCUUCCUGCAGAGGGAGCGUGCUGCCCUGCCCGUGCAGGCAGCGUCCACGCUGUGGCUCCCUCAUGCCGAGCGUUGGACCCUGCCAUAGACUCUGACCCGCUGGUCCAUCGCUGCAGUUUGUACGGAAUGUCCUGACAUGCAGCAUUUUCCUUGUCUGGACAAAUAAAAAUAAAUACUUCCAUCUUAAACUACACAGGAACAGUGAGUAGACUAGUGAUGAGCUGCUCUUCCCCUCUGUCACCAAAUGUGUGACCUUGUUUGGGGACAACACGAUUAACCUAAAUCCAGCACAGCGCCUGCACACGUUCCACCCUCUCGUUCCAGUCCCAAAUAACGCACAGCUCACACAGCUCCAUGUGGGCUCCCUUCCUGCUCACCGGAUGUUUCACUACCUCUGGCAUUCAUUUCUGUGUCCUUUUGGGGUUUAAAAAAAAAAAGAAUAUUGGGGCCGGCAUUGUAGCAUAGUGGGUAAAGCUGCUGUCUGCAAUGUCAGCAUCCCAUAGGGGCAACAGAUGGCUUCCCGGCUACUCCACUUCCCAUCCUGCUCCCUAUCAAUGGCCUGGGGAAAUCAGUGAAGAUGGCCCAACGGACGGACUGGGCUGCCGCCACCCUCAUGGGAGUCAUGGGAGACCCAGAUGAAGCUUGUGGCUCCUGGCGUCAGCUUGGCCCAUUGCUGGCUGUUGUGGCCAUAUGGGGAGUGAACCAGCAGAUGGAAGAUUCUCUUUCUCGCUCUCGUUCUUGCUCUCUGUCUCUGUAACUCUUUCAAUAAAUAAGUCUUUAAAAAUGAGUAAUAUAUUAGUUUUAGCUCAGCCUCUGAGGGAACAUCCAUCCUAUUUCCCAAAACCAUCGUGAGGGAGGAGGUGUAUGGGGCAUGAAUACAACACCGAUGUAGAGAGAACGGAAAGAACUGUCCAAAAGGUCCCGGGAGAUCUCUGAGUUGCCCUGGAGUUGUUCCACUGUGACCCCCAGUCCCCGUCAACCAGCCCCUACUCUUUUUAGCUUUAAGAAAGAAAUCUGAGACUUUGAGAGGCUAACAUCCGAAUGUAAAGUGAAUUUCUAGGCAGUAAUAAAUGCUUAGGUUACUCAGCAGCCCCCUGCAGGGUGAGCAAUGCCCGGAGGAGGUUAUGCAUAGUUUGUCCACCAGCUGUGAUGUGACCACAGCAGAAGCCUUCACUUCAGCCUUCAAAUUAAAGUCUGCUAAGUAUCGGCCAAGUCAGCAUCAUAGAUCCAAGAACGUUAAUGAUUUUUUUUAAUGGCCAAAGUCUCAAUGUCUCUGUGCCAGAGGGGCUGUGUCCAAAGUCAAAGCGGGCAGCCAUCUGGCCUAGAGGUCAAGCUGCAGGGGGGCUGCCUGUGCCCCAUACUGGAGUGCCUGGGUUCAGCACUGGCUGUGCUCCUAGAAGGCAGCAGGCCAUGGCUCCAGCAUGAGAGUCCCUCCCCCAUGUGGGAGGUCUGAGUGGAGGUUUAGGUUCCAGCUCCCUCCCCCAUGUGGGAGGCCUGAGUGGAGGUUUUGGCUCCAGCUCCCUCCCCCCUGUGGGAGGCCUGAGUGGAGGUUUUGGCUCCUGCCUCAGUCCCUGGCUGAGGUUACUGCAGUCAUCUAGAGAGUGAGACAGUGAAUAAGAGCUCACUCUCUGUUGCUCUGUCUCUGUUUUCUGUCUCCCUGAUUCUCUUUCACUGUCCUCUUUGUCUCUCUCUGCCUCUGAAGAAAUUGUCAAAGUAUACUUUGAGACAUCAAAGCAGUUGUAUCCGAAUUGCUGAGUAAAAUGGUGGCCUUGAAUUGUCUCCCACAGCUCUAAGUGGGCAGUGGAUGUGGGUGCAGCAGUAAUUAACAUGGGUCCUUUUUUCCAUCCCCCAUUGUAGACAUAGUUGCUGUGGUUGCUGACUGCAACUAAUCAGGUUUGUUUAACUUAACAGAUAUUUAAGGCUUGCACCAGAACUCCAGAAAUUAGUCUUUUUUUUUUUAAUUUUUUUUUUUAAUUUUUUUAUUUUUGACAGGCAGAGUGGACAGUGAGAGAGAGAGACAGAGAGAGAAAGGUCUUCCUUUGCCGUUGGUUCACCCUCCAAUGGCCGCCGCUGCAGCCGGCGCACCGCGCUGAUCCGAUGGCAGGAGCCAGGAGCCAGGUGCUUUUCCUGGUCUCCCAUGGGGUGCAGGGCCCAAGCACCUGGGCCAUCCUCCACUGCACUCCCUGGCCAUAGCAGAGAGCUGGCCUGGAAGAGGGGCAACCGGGACAGAAUCCGGCGCCCCGACCGGGACUAGAACCCGGUGUGCCGGCGCCGCUAGGUGGAGGAUUAGCCUAGUGAGCCACGGCGCCGGCCUAGAAAUUAGUCUUGACAAAGGCUGCAAUUACAAAGUAUCUGGCCCAGCCAACAUGACCGAAGACUGGCAUUACGACUGCAAACAAGCAUGGGGGCUCUGGCCAGCCUCUGUCGAGUACCCAGAGCCCAACAGGCAGCUGGCCCUGGCCUUUGUCCCCCUUGUCCCUGACCCCCCUGCCUCCCUCUCUGUCCCCUUUGGAGGUCUCCUGCUGACUUGAAAAUGUGAGGUGGUUUUGGGAGGAUGAGGACCGCCACGUCCUUAGGAGUGCUGGCCUCUCGAGAAACCCCGAUUCCUUGCGUCAGCUCCUGCGUUGUCUCUGGAGUAUCGACUCUUGCGUGGAGAGCAGCUCUGCCCUUGGUUUUUGUUCUGUUUUUUUUUUUUUUUUUAAAGAUUUGUUUAUUUAUUUGAAAGUCAGCAUUACACAGAGAAAGAAGGAGAGAGAAAGAGAGAGAGAGAGGUCUUGCAUCUGCUGGUUCACUCCCCAACUGGCCGGAGCUGGGUGGAUCCGAAGCCAGGAGCCAGGAGCUUUUUCCAGGUCUCUCACGAGGGUGCAGGGGCCCAAAGACUUGGGCCAGCCUCCACUGCUUUCCCAAGCCAUAGCAGAGAGGUGAGCUGGAUAGGAAGUGGAGCAGCCGGGUCUCGAACUGGCCCCCAUAUGGAAUGCCGGCACUGCAGGCUAACAGGGGCAAGGAUCCAGGGCCAGAGGCACACAGGCCUCUUGUCACAGCUGAGUCCCAACAGGCAGGCUGCUGAAAGACAGCAGCUAAGUUCACAGGGCCUUGGUGAACCAGACACUGGGCUGGGCGUUUCACACACGGCCCUGGUUUCAUUCCCAUUCAGUCUCUGACAAAGGUCCUGGUUUUUCUACAUAUAUGAGGAGAUUCAGGCUUAGAGGUGGGGCAAGGAGUGGGUUUGGUUUGAUGGCACAAAAGCCUUGUUUGCCUGGUUUAGCACUGCAAGUCCCUACUUCCGGAAGUCAGGGACGGUUGGCUGCCUUCUCAGGUUCAUUGACCUUGGCAAGCAUAGCUGGGAGGCUGCAGCCCACUCAUUGCCAAGAGUGACUCUAGGUACUGUGGAUACAGAGGUGAAUAAAGCAAGUUCUUCACAGAACUAAGGUUCUCAUUAAAAAAAAAAGAUUUCUUUCUUUAUUUAAAAGGCAGAGUUGGAGAGAGGCCUUCCAUCCACUGGUUCACUCCCGAAAUGGCCAUGAUGGCCAGAGCUGGGCCAGGCUGAGACUAGGAGCUCAGAACUCCAUCUGGGUCUCCCAUGUGGGUGCAGAGUCUCAAGCACUUGGGCCAUCCUCUGCUGCUUUCCCAGGUGCUUAAGCAGGGAGCUGGAUCUGAAGGGAAGCAGCCGGGACACGCACUGGCACUCAUGUGGCAGCUUAACCCCCUGUGCCACAAUGCCAGCCCUAGAGUUAAGAUUCUUGUAGGAAAGUGUGGGCAGAUAAUGAACAUAUGCCACGUGUCAGGUAGUGAUAAAGAAACUGCGGAAGGCAGCAGCAGCAGAGGACUCGUGAGGAUAGGGGGCUGGUUUGGUAUUUUAAACAGGGCACUUGAGGAGGAUCUUUGUGCUUGAACAGAAACCUGAAAGAAGUGGGAGAGGGGCCGCUGAUUUGCUUUGGGGACGAGCAGACUUCAUCUAUUUUUGAGUGAGUGCAGGGGCAGGCACUGUGUGUAGCGGGUAAAGCUGCCACCUGCAGUGCCAGCACCCCUUAUGGGCACUGGUUCAUGUCCUGGCUGCUCCACUUCCUAUCCAGCUCCCUGCUAUGGCCUGGGAAGGCAGUAGAUGACCCAAGUCCUUGGGCUCCUGCACCCACGUGGGAAGACCUGGAGGAAGCUCCUGGCUCCUGGCUUUGGAUCAGCGCAGCUCCAGCUGUUGUGGCCAAUUGGCGGGGCUGGGGGCAGGGGGUGAACCAGAGGAUGGAUAAUCUCUCUCUCUCUCUCUCUGUCUCUGUCUCUGUCUCUCUGCCUCUUCUGUCUCUGUGUAACUCUUUCAAAUAAAUAAAUAAAUAUUUUAAAAAAUAAGUGAGUGCAGAGGCCCUGGGGAAAUGAUGUUUGAUGUCUGAUGAACAUCAAACCAGUGGCCAGAGCGAGGUUGGGGGGCAGUGGCAGCAGGAGUGGUCUGGAGGGUUAGAGGGGGUAUUGGGGGCCAGGUCAAGAGGGCUUCCGCGUCUUACUCUGAGAUGAGUGGACAUUGGAGACUUAGGGCAAAGCAGUCAUCUGACUCAUGCGGUGAAAGAAAAACUCUGGUUUCUGCAGAAAGCAGCAGCGGGGAAAGGAGGGGCAGAGCGCGAGGAGAAAGCAGUCAACCGCCAGAGCGCAGGGCCUGAGCCAGCCUGGAAGCAGAGGAGCCAGAGUCUGGCUGCUUUUUUUUUUUUUUCCAAAGAUUUGUUUAUUUGAAAGAAUUAUAGAGAGGCAGCGGCAGAGAGAGAGCGGGCGAGAGAGGUCUUGCAUCCACUGGUUCACUCCCCAGUUGGCCACAAGAGCCAGAGCUGCACCGCUCCAAAGCCAGGAGCUAGGAGCUUCAUCUGGGUCUCCCACAUGGGUGCAGGAACCCAAGGACUUAGGCCAUCUUCUAGUGCUUUGCCAGGCACAUUAGCAGGGAGCUGGAUCAGAAGUGGAGCAGCUGGGACUCGAACCAGCACCACAUGGGAUGCCAGCACUACAGAUGGCGGCUUUACCUGCCAUGCCACAGCACUGGCCCCCUGGGUGCUUUUGAAAGCAGAGCUGACAUGACAUGGAUUGGAUAUUAGGGGUGGGUUGUGUAGAGGCAUAGGGGCAAGAUUCUUUUUGUCCAGGUCAUAUGAAAGGCCCUCGAUGCUACCUUAAGGAGUUAGUGUUGAUCCCUGCAGAUAACAGGGAGCUCCUGUAGGAUCUAAUUCUCAACCCAUCUGCCCAUCCCAGCCCAGAUCAUCAUCUGAGCAAAGGCCCUUUCUCACAGGACAUACAGAUAUAUUUAAUAUUUGACAGAAUGACACACACAGAAUCUUCCAUCCACUGGUUCACUCCCCAAAUGGCCACAACAGCCUGAGCUGUGCCAGAUCAGAGUCAGGAGCCAGGAAGUCCAUCCUGGUGUCCUGCAUGGGUGGCAGGGGCCCAAGCACUUGGGCUAUGUUCUGCUACCUUCCCAGGUGCAUUAGCAGGAACCCGGAUGGGAAGUAGAGGAGCCCGCACUCUGAUAUGAAAUGUUACCUGCUGUGCCACGAUGCCCAACUCUGAGAAUAUGUUUGUAUAUGUGCUUUGAGGGGAGACCAAAUUCUGGGAUGACCUACCCCCUCCUGAGCAGGAUGGAAAGAGAGGUGAGGCCAGCUUCAUCAAGUGGGGUGCAGCAGGUGGCCCUGACCCUGCCUACGAGCUGCAGUGACAGGGUUCUGUCUAGGUGGCCACACUGCCCACGGAUCAGAGCUUCCUUCUCAGUGCUGUAACGUUAAGCAGACUACAACUUAUCAAGCGCUAUACACAGGAUUUAUUCUAAAUACACACGCAGGAAACGUGGGUGUUCAUUUUACUCUCAACUUUUAAAAUUUUUAUAACAUUAACAUUUUUCCUGGUUAACUGAUAUUUUUUAAUUUUUUUCUCAAAGAAACCUUUUAUUUAAUGAGUGCAAAUUUCCUAAGUACAACUUUAGGAAUAUAGUAAUUCUUCUCCCCAUACCCACCCUCCCACCCCACUUCCCUCCUUCUCUCCCAUUCCCUAUCCCAUUCUCUAUUAAGAUUCAUUUUCAAUUAACUUGAUACACAGAGAGCAACUCUAUACUAAGUAAAGAUUUCAACAACUUGUGUGGGCGCGCGCACACACACAGAACUGAGAGCAAGUUUUACAGUUAAUUCUCGUAAUACAACUCCUGGAGGGCAGAGGGUCCUACAUGAGAAGUUAGUGCACAGUGACUCCUGUUGGUAAUGUAACAAUUAACACGCUAAUGUAUGACGUCAGCGGUCACCAGAGCCUCUUGACAUGAGCUGUCAGGGCUAUGGACGCCUUUUGAAUGCACAGUCUCCAUCGGUAUUUAGACAUGGUCCUAAGCGAAGUGGAAGCUCUCUCUUCCUUUUAGAGAAAAGUACCUCCUUCUUUGAUGGCCCCUUCUUUCUCUGGGCUGUCACUCAGAGAUCAUGUCGGCCAUUGUUUUGCCUCAGUGUCUUGGGUUUCCAUGCCUAAUGCUCUAUGGGUUUCUAGUCAGACCAGGAAGCCUUAAGGGCUGACUCCGGGGUCAGAGUGCUUUACCUGAUAUUUACAAGCUUGGGGCACACGAGCAAGCAGGCCGCUGGGAAAGGCAGGAAAACAACAAAAGCGCCUCUUCGCGGUUUCCCUCACGUACCCCUUGCCCGGCCUGGGCCUUCCCCCUCCUCGCCCCGCGCUCCGGGAUUCCCACGUUUUGAAACUGCUUGUUUACGAGUCCGGGAGCGACGGGGGGCGGGUUUCCCGCCCGCCCGCUUCCGGUCCGUCCAGGGGGUCGUUUCCGGGCUCGAGAAACCCCGGGCAGGAGCGGCCCGCGGCCGGGCACGCCUGUGCGAGGCCGCCGCCCAGCGCCGCGCCCGCACCCGGGGAGCCCACGCCCGCGGCAGCGCCCGGGGGCAGCGGCGUGAGAGGGGCGUGACGGAAGAGCGGCCUGAGGGAAAAAGGGGGCGUUCCGAGGCGAGAGGCGCACGCUCCUCGCCGCACCCGGAGGGAGGGCGCGACCGGGCCCGCCCACCGCGUCACAGAGACGCGUGCGCGGACGAAUCCCGGGACUCCGGCUCCCAGAGGCCCCCGGGGGAGCACGGGAACCAAUCGGAGGACGGGCAGUCUCACCGGGGUAUCCCAGCGGGCGCCGGGCCGCGUGGCGCUGGACUGAUUGGCAGCCCCUCCAGCCUAUGGCUGCUGUUGGAGCAGCCGUGCGUCGAAAGCGGGCCUAGGGCGGCUGCGGUCUGCGCUGGUAUCCCGGGCGCCGCGCCGGGAAGUGGGACGAGUGCGCCCGUGGGUGGCCCGAGGCGCUCCGGCGUGGGGCCGCCGGGUUGUGCUGAGCGCGUUGACCUCGGGAGCUCUUUGUCCUGAUUGGCUGGUGGUCUUCCUCCCCUGGCGUAUGCCGCAGACAGUGACCGGUUGCCUGCCAGGCCCCGCGCUGGGCAGUGCGGGGAUGGCACCUCGGCUCUCUGCUAUGGCCUGGGAACGCAGUAGAAAAUGGCCCAAGUCCUUGGGCCCCUGCACACACAUGGGAGACCCGGAAGAAGCUGCUGGCUCCUGGCUUCUGGCUUUGGAUUGUCGCAGCUCCAGCUGUUGCGGCCAAUUGGGGAGUGAACCAUCAAAUGGAAGACCUCUCUCUCUCUCUGCCUCCACUCUGUGUAACUCUGACUUUCAAAUAAAUAAAUAAAUCUUUAAGAAUCA
Oryctolagus cuniculus (rabbit) is the source of this 10157-nucleotide long non-coding RNA. RefSeq lists it as uncharacterized. The record is from RefSeq and is a predicted model, not a curated record. Lineage: Eukaryota; Metazoa; Chordata; Mammalia; Lagomorpha; Leporidae.